Molecule: ribosomal RNA, 250 nt
Filed under: uncultured bacterium
Lineage: Bacteria
Description: partial 16S ribosomal RNA
Rfam family: Bacterial small subunit ribosomal RNA
Source: RNAcentral
UACGGAGGAUUCAAGCGUUAUCCGGAUUUAUUGGGUUUAAAGGGUGCGUAGGCGGUUUGAUAAGUUAGAGGUGAAAUGUUAGGGCUCAACCCUGAAACUGCCUCUAAUACUGUCGGGCUAGAGAGUAGUUGCGGUAGGCGGAAUGUAUGGUGUAGCGGUGAAAUGCUUAGAGAUCAUACAGAACACCGAUUGCGAAGGCAGCUUACCAAACUACUUCUGACGUUGAGGCACGAAAGCGUGGGUAGCAAAC